UUUGCAGGCAUUUCCAAAGCCCCCUGAACUCCAGAAAAACCUAACUCUUGCUACCACUGUUCAAACCACUUCUGAAGAAUUAGCCAUGGAUCAGGAUGGCCAGUUGGCCUGGAAUAGACAGCUGCCAGAUUCAUCCUCAGAAGAUUCUGAAAGGGAAAUUCCAGAUGCUGAAGACAAUCACAGCCUAAUAAGGGAGUGCUCCAACUCUUCCAGUCAUCGAUCACACCAUGAAAGUGAUAGAGAGCUCUCCAGUUCUACUU
Molecule: long non-coding RNA, 260 nt
Organism: Sinocyclocheilus anshuiensis
Lineage: Eukaryota; Metazoa; Chordata; Actinopteri; Cypriniformes; Cyprinidae
Exons: 3
Source: RefSeq, a predicted model, not a curated record